ACUCCGGGAACCGGAGCUAAUACCGGGUAAUACAUCGCACCGCAUGGUGCAAUGUUGAAAGUUGGCUUUCUGAGCUAACACUGCAGGAUGGGCCCGCGGCGCAUUAGCUAGUUGGUAAGGUAAUGGCUUACCAAGGCAACGAUGCGUAGCCGACCUGAGAGGGUGAUCGGCCACACUGGGACUGAGACACGGCCCAGACUCCUACGGGAGGCAGCAGUAGGGAAUCUUCCGCAAUGGACGAAAGUCUGACGGAGCAACGCCGCGUGAGUGACGAAGGCCUUCGGGUCGUAAAGCUCUGUUGUUAGGGAAGAACAAGUACCGUUCGAAUAGGGCGGUACCUUGACGGUACCUAACCAGAAAGCCACGGCUAACUACGUGCCAGCAGCCGCGGUAAUACGUAGGUGGCAAGCGUUGUCCGGAAUUAUUGGGCGUAAAGCGCGCGCAGGCGGUCUUUUAAGUCUGAUGUGAAAGCCCACGGCUCAACCGUGGAGGGUCAUUGGAAACUGGAGGACUUGAGUGCAGAAGAGGAGAGUGGAAUUCCACGUGUAGCGGUGAAAUGCGUAGAUAUGUGGAGGAACACCAGUGGCGAAGGCGGCUCUCUGGUCUGUAACUGACGCUGAGGCGCGAAAGCGUGGGGAGCAAACAGGAUUAGAUACCCUGGUAGUCCACGCCGUAAACGAUGAGUGCUAGGUGUUGGGGGGUUCCACCCUCAGUGCUGAAGUUAACACAUUAAGCACUCCGCCUGGGGAGUACGACCGCAAGGUUGAAACUCAAAGGAAUUGACGGGGGCCCGCACAAGCAGUGGAGCAUGUGGUUUAAUUCGAAGCAACGCGAAGAACCUUACCAGGUCUUGACAUCCUCUGACAAUCCUGGAGACAGGACGUUCCCCUUCGGGGGACAGAGUGACAGGUGGUGCAUGGUUGUCGUCAGCUCGUGUCGUGAGAUGUUGGGUUAAGUCCCGCAACGAGCGCAACCCUUGAUCUUAGUUGCCAGCAUUCAGUUGGGCACUCUAAGGUGACUGCCGGUGACAAACCGGAGGAAGGUGGGGAUGACGUCAAAUCAUCAUGCCCCUUAUGACCUGGGCUACACACGUGCUACAAUGGACGGUACAAAGGGCAGCGACACCGCGAGGUGAAGCAAAUCCCAUAAAGCCGUUCUCAGUUCGGAUUGCAGGCUGCAACUCGCCUGCAUGAAGCCGGAAUUGCUAGUAAUCGCGGAUCAGCAUGCCGCGG
This 1232-nucleotide ribosomal RNA is filed under the name Guptibacillus hwajinpoensis. Its description in RNAcentral is "bacterial SSU rRNA". It matches the Rfam family "Bacterial small subunit ribosomal RNA", at positions 146 to 1362 of the family's 1533-position model. Lineage: Bacteria; Bacillati; Bacillota; Bacilli; Caryophanales; Guptibacillaceae. The record is from RNAcentral.